CAGGUGUGUGCGAUCACAGAACAGGCCUGCAGAGCCAUCAGAGCUGUUCUAGAGCAGAGAGGGAACCGAGCUUCAGUCCUCCGCUUCUUCAUCGCAUCGCUGCAGACCAGGGCCGCUGUGUUUCGUCAGCAUUUGUUGAGUUCUGCCGAUCCGUCAGUGGAGAUGCUGAUCUCGGUGUCUGACACGCUCAGACACACUGCUGCUGAACUCCUGCAGCUGGGAUACAGGACACACUCCGCCGAAGCCAUGCUAGAACACGCAAACACGCUCAGAAUCCUGGCUGUACACUCAUCGAGUGCAGAAGAGAAACAGCGCCACCUUCUGGACGCGUUCAGCCUGAUGAAGAGCGCUGUCUCUCUUCAGGAGCAAGUUCUCACUGAUGUCCUCAAUGUUCUUCCACCUCAUGAGGUACGAGAUGUUUUUAAUGAUCACUUAAUGUAC
This 441-nucleotide long non-coding RNA is filed under the name Sinocyclocheilus grahami. RNAcentral's name for it is "lncRNA (ENSSGRG00000050892.1)". Lineage: Eukaryota; Metazoa; Chordata; Actinopteri; Cypriniformes; Cyprinidae. The record is from RNAcentral.